UACGUAGGGACCGAGCGUUGUCCGGAAUUAUUGGGCGUAAAGAGCUCGUAGGCGGUUUGUCGCGUCUGCUGUGAAAACUCAGGGCUUAACCCUGAGCCUGCAGUGGGUACGGGCAGACUAGAGUGUGGUAGGGGAGAUCGGAAUUCCUGGUGUAGCGGUGGAAUGCGCAGAUAUCAGGAGGAACACCGGUGGCGAAGGCGGAUCUCUGGGCCUGUACUGACGCUGAGGAGCGAAAGCGUGGGGAGCGAACAGG
This 253-nucleotide ribosomal RNA is filed under the name uncultured bacterium. Its description in RNAcentral is "partial 16S ribosomal RNA". It matches the Rfam family "Bacterial small subunit ribosomal RNA", at positions 524 to 776 of the family's 1533-position model. The record is from RNAcentral.